Molecule: ribosomal RNA, 254 nt
Filed under: uncultured bacterium
Lineage: Bacteria
Description: partial 16S ribosomal RNA
Rfam family: Bacterial small subunit ribosomal RNA
Source: RNAcentral
UACGAAGGGGGCUAGCGUUGUUCGGAAUCACUGGGCGUAAAGCGCUUGUAGGCGGAUCGUUAAGUCAGGGGUGAAAUCCCGAGGCUCAACCUCGGAACUGCCUUUGAUACUGGCGAUCUUUGAGUCCGGGAGAGGUGAGUGGAACUCCGAGUGUAGAGGUGAAAUUCGUAGAUAUUCGGAAGAACACCAGUGGCGAAGGCGGCUCACUGGCCCGGUACUGACGCUGAGGCGCGAAAGCUAGGGGAGCAAACGGG